GAAAGGGAAACUGGUUAAUAUUCCAGUACCUUCUUGCACCAAACGUCGACGCUUUAGGAAACACCGAGCGGGGCCUUCGCCCCGUCGAAUCACCGAAAUUCGUGGAAGCCGUAACGGCACGAAGCGAACGAAUGGUGAGACAGGGAAACUCGGCGGUACCUAGAGCCCGUGAAAAGACAAGCAAGAAGCUCGUACCGAGAUCCGACACAGGUGCGCUGGCAGAGCAAGCCAAGGCCUGUCGGGAUCAACCGACGUUAGGGAAUUCGGCAAGUUAGUCCCGUAAGUUCGCGAUAAGGGAUGCCUGCUCUUGACCGAGCAGGUCGCAGUGACUCGGACGCUCCGACUGUCUAGUAACAACAUAGGUGACCGCAAAUCCGCAAGGACUCGUACGGUCACUGAAUCCUGCCCAGUGCGGGUAUCUGAACACCUAGUACAAUAGGACGAAGGACCCGUCAACGGCGGGGGUAACUAUGACCCUCUUAAGGUAGCGUAGUACCUUGCCGCUUCAGUAGCGGCUUGCAUGAAUGGAUCAACGAGAGCGUCACUGUCCCAACGUUGGGCCCGGUGAACUGUACGUUCCAGUGCGGAGUCUGGAGACCCCCAAGGGGAAGCGAAGACCCUAUAGAGCUUUACUGCAGGCUGUCGCUGAGACGUGGUCGCUAAUGUGCAGCAUAGGUAGGAGCCGUUACACAGGUACCCGCGCCAGCGGGCCACCGAGGCAACAUUGAAAUACUACCCGUUAGUGACUGCGACUCUCACUCCUGGCGGAGGACACCGGUAGCCGGGCAGUUUGACUGGGGCGGUACGCGCUCGAAAAGAUAUCGAGCGCGCCCAAAGAUUUCCUCACGCGAGUCGGGAACUCGUGGAAGAGCGCAAGAGCAAACGGAAGUCUGACAGUGACAUUCCCAACGAGUGUCGCUGACGCGAAAGCGUGGUCUAGCGAACCUACGAGGUUCAUUCAUGGGACCCGUAGAUGACAGAAAAGCUACCUUAGGGAUAACAGAGUCGUCACCGGCAAGAGCACAUAUCGACCCGGUGGCUUGCUACCUCGAUGUCGGUUCCCUCCAUCCUGCCUGUGCAGAAGCAGGCAAGGGUGAGGUUGUUCGCCUAUUAAAGGAGGUCGUGAGCUGGGUUUAGACCGUCGUGAGACAGGUCGGCUGCUAUCUAUUGGGGGUGUUAAGGAACUUGACGUGAACGUUCGUAUAGUACGAGAGGAACUACGAAUGGGUGCCACUGGUGUACCGGUUGUCCGAGAGGGCAGAUGCCGGGCAGCUACGCACCACGGGGUAAGAGCUGAACGCAUCUAAGCUCGAAACCCACACGGAAAAGAAGUUCCACUGAGGNAGGGCAGAUGCCGGGCAGCUACGCACCACGGGGUAAGAGCUGAACGCAUCUAAGCUCGAAACCCACACGGAAAAGAAGUUCCACUGAGGUCACU
Molecule: ribosomal RNA, 1438 nt
Filed under: Haloferax volcanii JCM 10717
Lineage: Archaea; Methanobacteriati; Methanobacteriota; Halobacteria; Halobacteriales; Haloferacaceae
Description: bacterial LSU rRNA
Rfam family: Archaeal large subunit ribosomal RNA
Source: RNAcentral